This 644-nucleotide long non-coding RNA is filed under the name Rattus norvegicus (Norway rat). RNAcentral describes it as "long non-coding RNA NONRATT018555". The record is from RNAcentral. Lineage: Eukaryota; Metazoa; Chordata; Mammalia; Rodentia; Muridae.
CAGGGACACUGCAAGAACCAGGCUCACAGAAUCAACUGACUGGGACCCAGGGGGCCUCUCAGAAAUCAGGGAGCCUGUAGGAGUCUGACCUAGAGGCUAGGUAGCUUGGUGUCCUUGUGGGAUUCCUAGGUAGCUUGGAUUCCUUGUGGGAACGACAGCUGUCUCUGACUCUUGCCUGCUUAUGAGCCCUCCUCUAACUGGGCUGCCUGGUGCUGUCUUGAUAUGGAAAAAAAGGAAGAGUGGUGACCACUCUGCCCUAGGAUCACAGCACCCUACAGAGACCGUUUCUCUGAAACCCAGAUAAACUAGAGUCCUUUAUGAAGCCUGCUGAGAAGACCAAAGGAGAAAGGCAUUCCACUCGUUAAAUGUUUAUUAUUUGAGCUUAGCAGCCAACUAUAAUAAUGGAGAGAGGAAGCUGUCUGUAAGCUGUGUACAAAUUUAGCUACUUAAAUUCCAUUAAUGUAAAAUAGAACACUGAGGUUAAACCCUUUUACUAGGCAGUAGCCCGAGGGCGUGGCGGUUGGUAGUAAAAGCUGGGGGGCCGCUGAUACCUGGGCCUGUGAUUUGAAAGCAAUUCAAGUCAAGAAAAUGGUAACUCACACUGGGAAAGUUUGCUUCCUUUUCCUCAACAAAUCAGUUCACUC